UCCUAGCGGUCCAAGUCGCAGCCAUCAUUAUUGGGUAUAAAACAUCCGUAGCUUGCAUUUUAAGUUCCCUGUGAAAUUCUGUAUCUUAAGUACCGAGCGUGCAGGGAGUACUAUUAUGCUAGAGACUGGAAGACGUAAGAAGUACGAUGAAGGUAGUGGUAAAAUACGUUAAUCUUCGUCGGACUCACAACAGCGAAGGCAUCUUACGAGGACAGUUCUGACAGUGAGGGAUGAAGGCUAGGGGCGCAAAAGG
RNAcentral lists this ribosomal RNA (253 nucleotides) under uncultured archaeon. RNAcentral's name for it is "partial 16S ribosomal RNA". It matches the Rfam family "Archaeal small subunit ribosomal RNA", at positions 474 to 726 of the family's 1478-position model. The record is from RNAcentral.